RNAcentral lists this ribosomal RNA (253 nucleotides) under uncultured bacterium. RNAcentral's name for it is "partial 16S ribosomal RNA". It matches the Rfam family "Bacterial small subunit ribosomal RNA", at positions 524 to 776 of the family's 1533-position model. The record is from RNAcentral.
UACGGAGGUGGCAAGCGUUGUUCGGAAUUACUGGGCGUAAAGGGCGCGUAGGCGGGGAGACAAGUCGGGUGUGAAAUCCCUCGGCUCAACCGAGGAACGGCGCCCGAAACUGUCUCUCUUGAGUCCCGGAGAGGAAGGUGGAAUUCCCGGUGUAGCGGUGAAAUGUGUAGAGAUCGGGAGGAACACCGGUGGCGAAGGCGGCCUUCUGGACGGUGACUGACGCUGAGGCGCGAAAGCGUGGGGAGCAAACGGG